This 30-nucleotide non-coding RNA is filed under the name Mus musculus (house mouse). Lineage: Eukaryota; Metazoa; Chordata; Mammalia; Rodentia; Muridae. The record is from RNAcentral.
UCCUAUCUAUGUUUAAGAGGCACGUCACCU